This 75-nucleotide transfer RNA is filed under the name Neisseriaceae bacterium. Its description in RNAcentral is "tRNA-Arg". It matches the Rfam family "tRNA". Rfam says of the family: Transfer RNA (tRNA) molecules are approximately 80 nucleotides in length. Their secondary structure includes four short double-helical elements and three loops (D, anti-codon, and T loops). RNAcentral also lists the same sequence under 1 other name. The record is from RNAcentral. Lineage: Bacteria; Pseudomonadati; Pseudomonadota; Betaproteobacteria; Neisseriales; Neisseriaceae.
CUCGCCGUAGUUCAAUGGAUAGAACGUAUGCCUCCUAAGCGUAAAAUGUGGGUUCGAUUCCCCCCGGCGAGGCCA